Long non-coding RNA from Fundulus heteroclitus (mummichog), 968 nucleotides. RefSeq lists it as uncharacterized. The record is from RefSeq and is a predicted model, not a curated record. NCBI's taxonomy places the organism in Eukaryota, Metazoa, Chordata, Actinopteri, Cyprinodontiformes, Fundulidae. The transcript is spliced from 5 exons.
UUAAAACCCCAGCCUGUACUUGGAGCACGGGCUUUUGUGCAUGUAGACGAAGGAGAGCGAAAGCUGCAAAUAUGGUGAGAAAGGAAGGGAAACAAUCUGCUGUGGACUGACAAGCACAAACAGCCAGUCAGACUUUUAACCCGAGAAACAGAUGGCUCAAAUGGAAACGAUGAUGUGUCGCAAUGCAUCUGAUGGACGUUUAAUUCGUGGAGCAAUCUGUGCGUGGUUCCGAGCACCUGGUAGUGACAUUUAACAUUUUUCCCCCCCCAGAAGAGCAGACCCCGAAGCUGCCGGAAUAACGGCUGUGCUCGUAUAACACAGGAGGCCCGUUAAAAUCCGGUUCCAGUGUCACAGAGGCCAACGCAGGAUGUCGCCUCCGGCAGAGGCCGGCCUGUAGUUGCAGAUCCUGCCUCGGCUUGCACACAGGAAUGUACUAUUGAGAAAGGAGUGCACCACAAACCCUCGCAGCCAUUCCAGCCCCCGUAAUCAGAUCCAGCCUGUCAUCCCCCAUUCCGUCUUUCUUUCUCUCUCUCUCUCUCCUUUUCUCUCAUCGGCCCCAGCUUUCGACGCGCACACACGCUGAACAGAAACAGCCGCAUAGCGCACAACAGGCCGUCAGAUGCCCGCACAGAAUCGCAGACACCAAUUUGUAGACAUAACCUCGUUCAUCCGUACUAAGCCUGGAAACCUUGUUUCACCUUCAUCAGAAGUCAGCCUGGAACAGUCUCAGACCCAAGCUGGAACCUUCGGUAACCCAGCUAGCCCUCCUGCCUGCACUCACCUGCCUGUCCACCCUCCAACCAGUCACAACUCUGAGAAGGGACCAGGGCCUGCACCGACAACCCGAAUGUCUGCACAGCACCUAUCUCCUGGACCAAACCCAAGCCACCACCUCAAACCCACAAGACCUUCGACCCGCUGAAAGACCCAUCCGAUUCCUACCUUACAAUAAACAUUUUUUAAGCCUA